Molecule: ribosomal RNA, 467 nt
Filed under: uncultured bacterium
Lineage: Bacteria
Description: partial 16S ribosomal RNA
Rfam family: Bacterial small subunit ribosomal RNA
Source: RNAcentral
GACGAACGCUGGCGGCGUGCUUAACACAUGCAAGUCGAACGGAAAGGCCCUGCUUUUGUGGGGUGCUCGAGUGGCGAACGGGUGAGUAACACGUGAGUAACCUGCCCUUGACUUUGGGAUAACUUCAGGAAACUGGGGCUAAUACCGGAUAGGAGCUCCUGCUGCAUGGUGGGGGUUGGAAAGUUUCGGCGGUUGGGGAUGGACUCGCGGCUUAUCAGCUUGUUGGUGGGGUAGUGGCUUACCAAGGCUUUGACGGGUAGCCGGCCUGAGAGGGUGACCGGCCACAUUGGGACUGGGAGACGGCCCAGGCGCCUACGGGAGGCAGCAGCGGGGAAUAUUGCACAAUGGGCGGAAGCCUGAUGCAGCAACGCCGCGUGCGGGAUGACGGCCUUCGGGUUGUAAACCGCUUUCGCCUGUGACGAAGCGUGAGGGACGGUAAUGGGUAAAGAAGCACCAGCGAACUACGU